RNAcentral lists this long non-coding RNA (1174 nucleotides) under Cairina moschata (Muscovy duck). RNAcentral describes it as "domestica (muscovy Duck (domestic type)) lncRNA (ENSCMMG00000013454.1)". Lineage: Eukaryota; Metazoa; Chordata; Aves; Anseriformes; Anatidae. The record is from RNAcentral.
AAAAAAAUGCUCACCUGUUACAAGACAGGCAGCACUUGUUAAUGUCUCUGUAAGCAAAGGUGGAAGGACAAUGAGGAAGGUUAAAGAGGGUUUGAAGUUUUGAGAUAGUUUAUAGUGCUGUCUGUAUAUCUCUAGUAGAUGUGGACAAUAGUGGAAUUCAUCUAGCAAGGCAGAAUCCAAUUGCUGUAUUUUUUUCCUUCUUCUAAUAUAUGUGCUGCUUCUGCAAAGAAAAUGAAUAAUCCUCUGGGGCUUUUAUGCAUGUCUGGUUUCAUCAGAUUCAGGGGAUAUUUCAGUGCCUGUAGAAAAAGAAGCAACACAACUUCCUUACCUUGCAAAGAAAAUCACGAGGCACGUUUUUGUUUCUUUUGCAAAGCAGCUUAGUGUCUAUCUGUUGAGAAGCCGUUUGGGAUUCAUGGACUGAAGGUACCUUUAUUCUUUUUUUUUUUUUUUCCUGUGCAAAAUAUCUGCACCUCUUGACCCCUCUUUCAUCCACUUCAUGUUCUAGUUGCUUGUCUUAAUAUAAGCAGUCUCUGAGUUGGCAACAUUUCAUGCAGGGGCACUACACUACCCUCAGCUUCUCUGCAAUUAAUAUUCUGUCCUGUCUCUUAAGCCCGGCCCUGUGUUCCUAAUGUCAGUUUGGCUUUGUUUAAUAUGACCAGCAAGGUAGCAUGUGUUUCCAAGCUGAGUCCUGCUGCCAUUUCUGGAGGUAUCUCCCAUUAAUCAAGAAGGCUACUUUGUCAUAGUGCAGCUAAUGUUAUCACCAAACUUUAAGUACAGAGGUGGAAUAAUAAUGGCUCCUGUUUCACUAAAUGGGGUUAACACAGCUGAAUAGCUUCCCUGAUGGUUUAUUAUGUUAGUCUUUCAGAACAUUGACUGAUUUGUUUUUAUUACCAAGAAAGCUUUUGUCUUAUGAAAAUGACUUGGGACCACAGGUCAAUGUUUUUCAUGUCACAUCUCCAUAAGAAAUACAUUGCUUCAUUAUAUUUUGUAUUCUGCCACUGCAAUCUGUAUGGCACUUAAAUUUAUUUGUCAUGACACCACUGCCAGGCUGCCAUUAAAUUGUUAAAGGAUAUUCAGGAAAUGUUUUUGCAGUAACCUUUAGAGGAAGACGUAUGGAAAUGGACUAUAUCUGUUAAUUGACUUUUUGAUAUGCAAAUCUUCCAAAGUGUAAGGC